RNAcentral lists this transfer RNA (63 nucleotides) under Schizodactylus jimo. RNAcentral describes it as "tRNA-Gly". The record is from RNAcentral. Lineage: Eukaryota; Metazoa; Arthropoda; Insecta; Orthoptera; Schizodactylidae.
AUUUAUUUAGUAUAAAAAGUAUAAUUGACUUCCAAUCAAUAGGUUUGGCCCUCAAAAUAAAUA